This 482-nucleotide ribosomal RNA is filed under the name uncultured bacterium. Its description in RNAcentral is "partial 16S ribosomal RNA". It matches the Rfam family "Bacterial small subunit ribosomal RNA", at positions 30 to 507 of the family's 1533-position model. The record is from RNAcentral.
AUUGAACGCUGGCGGCAUGCCUUACACAUGCAAGUCGAACGGUAACAGGUCUUCGGAUGCUGACGAGUGGCGAACGGGUGAGUAAUACAUCGGAACGUGCCCAGACGUGGGGGAUAACGAGGCGAAAGCUUUGCUAAUACCGCAUACGAUCUAAGGAUGAAAGCAGGGGACCGCAAGGCCUUGGGCGUUUGGAGCGGCCGACGGCAGAUUAGGUAGUUGGUGGGAUAAAAGCUUACCAAGCCGACGAUCUGUAGCUGGUCUGAGAGGACGACCAGCCACACUGGGACUGAGACACGGCCCAGACUCCUACGGGAGGCAGCAGUGGGGAAUUUUGGACAAUGGGCGAAAGCCUGAUCCAGCAAUGCCGCGUGCAGGAUGAAGGCCUUCGGGUUGUAAACUGCUUUUGUACGGAACGAAAAGGCUCUGGCUAAUACCUGGGGCACAUGACGGUACCGUAAGAAUAAGCACCGGCUAACUACGUG